This 10180-nucleotide long non-coding RNA is filed under the name Brassica rapa (field mustard). RNAcentral's name for it is "long non-coding RNA (BRAP_LNC006239)". The record is from RNAcentral. Lineage: Eukaryota; Viridiplantae; Streptophyta; Magnoliopsida; Brassicales; Brassicaceae.
GCAAAGACGACAUUUACCAUCAGAAUACUCAGGUGGUUCACCAGUGAGGAACUUAAGAGGAUGCAAGGAGUGGUAAGAGUGGUUUACCUCUGGUGAGUAAUUUAGCUCUGAUGCUUCUGGGUGCCAUACACAUUCCACAGGAAAGGCUACAUCACAUUCUUCACAUUUGUACGAAAGUCCAUAAGCCUUCCCGCAUUUAGCAGAACAGUCGAACACGGUAUUCUUCUUGACAAGUGUGAGCUUGUGGGAGUGCGUCUCGAAAUUGUCAAUAACAUCUGGUGGUGGGUACUUGGCACAGUGUAGAUCCAUGUCGAAGUCGCACCCGUCACAACAACGAUAGCACAGAUUCUUGAUUUUCCUUUCGCAUAUAUCGCAUACGUGACCGCGUAUUCCUUGAAGCCGGAGAGUGUGGUCAGGGUGAGCUGGGUGGUCGAUGAUGAACUCAGUGAGCUCGCCACAUUCCUUGUGCACGAAAAAAUCACAGAGUUUACAAUAGUAGCCAUCACUCUGAGAUACAUAUCGUCCACAACAAUCACCUCUCCUCAGAUCAUUCCAAGGCAUCAUAGGAUGCUCGUGGAUCAAUGGUAACAACACUCCCUCAGAUUCCAUUUUUCUCUCUCGUAUACAAAGAUCUAAGGGGAAGAAGAUGGGGAAUAUCAAAGUUAGAUCAAAGUUUAAGGCUAGGUUAGAUUGUUAGUCACACAAUAGGCGUUCUUAAUAAAAUAAUAGAGACUUACGUAUUCAUAUCGAACCUUGCUGGUCAUUUUUAAAAUAGUUAUCGUUGUUGAUUAUUUUUUGAAACACACUUAUAUUAAAAGCUCAGACCAAAGUAGGUGGAGCCAUCAAAGCUAGUUCAACAGCCAAACUCUGUUUCGCUAGCAUAUCCGCUUCUACAUUUCUCACUCGGGAGAUCCAAUUAAAAGAACAACAUUCAAAAGAUGAAGCUAAAGAGACAAUGUCAACCAGGACCCCAUAGAGGCCAGCCAGCGAUGUUCCGGAUUUGAGGGCCUUUAUUAAGACAGCUGAGUCUGAUUCGAUUCUGAUUCUGGAGAGUCCCAGUUCUUGACACUUUCCUAGCGCUUCUCUGAGUGCCAGAGCCUCUGCCGCUAAAGGAGAUCUCACAUGGUGAGUAGGAGUCGAGUAAGAUGAGGUUCCUUGUUGUGAUUCCACCGUCCAUCCUAAACCUGCAACCAUUAAAUUUUCGUUCCAAGCAGCAUCAGUUUUUAUUAGCGCAGAGUUUGUCGCUGCUGUAGAUGCAGGGGGCAGAGCACGCUUCAUUGGUGCCUCUGUUUGCUGGCAUGCGUUCCAUUCCCUUGCAGCAGCUAGAGCCUUGGAGAGGUUGUCGGUUGCGGAGAUGGUCUUGUCCUUGAACACCAGAUUGUUUCUUGCCGUCCAGAUAUGCCACAGGAUCCAAGGUGCCAACUGUCCUUCUGCAACUCCCGUUGGAGGUAAGUUCGUCUUAGUCACGAGACUGAUCCAUGAAUUUCUUAAGACUAUAGAUUCAUUGUACUCGAUUCUAGGUAAAACAGGGGCCGAGAGCCACAUUUGUUUUGCAUAAGAACAAUGAAAGAACAAGUGAUCUAUAGUUUCAGGCAUGUUGCAUCUUUUACACGUUCCAUCGACGUUGAUGUGUCGGGCCCUAAGCGCUUCUCCCGCUGGGAUUGCCCCAUGUAGUGCCUUCCACACAAACAGCUUUGUCUUUGGUGACGUUUUGAGACUCCAGACUGCCUUCUUCCAGUUGAAGGCCAGGUCCUCUUGUGUGAUAUCCAUUGGAUUCACUCUGUGGGAGAGAGCUGUCGCAUAACCAGAUUUGGUAGUAUACUCUCCUGACUUGGAGCUCAGCCAAGCGAGCCUAUCUGGUGCUCCCGUGCGGCUUGGUUUGAUCAUUGUGAUCCUGUGUUCCUCCUGAGGGAGCACCAGUCUGAUCAGAUCAACAUCCCAUUCGUAGUUUGGCAGCAUGAGAUCUGCCACAGUUAGAUGUUGGAAUUCCAUUGGCGCCGGCCCCAUUGGUCUCUCUUGAGCCUCGCAGCUGAGCCACGGUUUGUCCCAAAUGUUAAUGCUCUCUCCAUUACCCACUUCCCAGCCUGCAUUUUCCAUAAUUAAGUCACGUCCUAUAAGAACGCUUCUCCAUCCGUGUGAGAUCGCACUCUUUGCUGUUACUGUCAGGAAGUCCUCCGAGUUACAGUAUUUCCCAAGGAGGAUUCGGCUUAGUAGCUUGUCUGGAUUGUUUAUGAUUCUCCAGCUCAACUUGGCUAGGAAAGCUUCAUUGAAACUUUGAAUAUCUCUAAAAUCCAGUCCCCCCUGUUCCAUGGGUCUUAUUAGCUUUUGCCAUGCAAUCCAAGCCAUCUUCUUUUUUUCCAUAUUAUCAUCCCACCAGAAUCGAGUGAGCGUCGACUGUAUUUGUUGGCAAAGGGACACAGGGAGUUGGAAACAGGACAUUGCGUGUGAAGGGAUAGGAGAUAAGACGCUCUUCAGCAUUGUCAUCUUGCCCGCCGUCGAUAAGAAUCGGUUGGACCAACCUCGCGCCUUUUGCUUGAUUCUGUCGAUGAUGGACGCGAAGUUAUCCCUCUUAGAUCUUCCAAAAUGUUCCGGGAGGCCUAGAUAUUUGCCAACUCCCCCCUCUUUUUCGAUAAGCAAAGUGCCUUUGACUAGAGACUUCAAAGCCCUCGGGGUCUUCCUAGAGAAAGUGAUUGACGAUUUCUCCACGUUUAUUGUCUGUCCCGACGCUUCCUCAUAUUUUUUGAGGAUGAUGUUUAGAGCCUUGCUACAUUCCUUGCUGGCUCGUACAAAAAACAUUGUGUCGUCCGCAAAGAGGAGGUGGUUGAGUCGAGGAGUCCCCCGAGCUACUUUGAUCCCUUUGAGGGAUCCCUCCUCUUGAGCUUUGUUACACAGACCCGAGAGUACCUCACUACAUAGUAUGAAGAUGUAAGGUGAGAGUGGAUCUCCUUGACGGAUACCACGACUCGGUGUGACUCUUCCUCUAGGAGAACCGUUAAUGAGGAAGGAGUAUGUAACAGUAGACACGCAUUGCAUGAUCCACGAGAUCCAUUUGGGAUGAAAUCCUAGUCUCUGGAACACCAGCCGGAUAAACUCCCAUUCGAGACGAUCAUAGGCUUUGCUCAUGUCGGUUUUGACCGCCAUAGCGCAUCUCUUUGCAGCGUCUGACGUUUUGAGGUAAUGGAGCACCUCAUGAGUGAUAAGGACAUUGUCCGAGAUUGCCCUCCCUGGCACAAACGCUGAUUGGUUCUCGGAGACAAUGUCUGAUAGGAGCGGUUGGAGUCUCUUCGUCAAAAUCUUGGAGAUGAUUUUGUAGUAGACGUUGCAGAGAGCUAUAGGUCUAUACUCCGUAACGCGCUGCGGACUAGGGAUCUUUGGGAUGAGCCGGAUGUGCGUUUCAUUUAUCGUGGACGGGAGAGUGUCCGUGAUAAAAAAUUCCUGAAUCUCCUUCACGAUGUCGCAACCGAUAUUCUCCCAAUUUGUAUGGUAGAAACUCGCGGAGAAGCCAUCGGGGCCAGGUGCUUUAUCAGCAUGGAUAGAGAAGACUGCGUCUUUGAUUUCCACUGCUGUUGGUACCGCUAUCAGUUCUUCAUUCAUCUCGUCUGUCACCAUUGGAGACAGCGCCUGUCUAACCGUUUCCUCCCUAUUCCCUUCGAUUGCUUCAAAAAGCUUCUGGAAAUAGCUUACUACGACCUUCCCAAUCUGAUCUUCUUGAUAGACCAUAGUGCCCAAUUCAUCCUCAAUAACUGAAAAGGCGUUAGCCCUCUUUCGGUUUUUGGCAAUAGCAUGGAAGUACCCGGUGUUCCUAUCUCCGAGGCUUAACCACAGCAAGCGACUCCUUUGUCUCCAAUAUUCUUCCUCUGAGAUGUAGGCAUCGUUGAGCUCGUUAGAUACUCUCGUUAUGAGUUCUGUAUCAUUCUUCGGGUCGGUUAGAGCUACCUCCAGUUCCUCUUUCUUCUUCUCUAUUUGCUUCCUGCUGUUUUGAUAUUGUUGCUUGCUCCACUGGAUUAAAGCCGAUCUCACGAGUCUGAUCCUGUCAUUGACAGUAGCGUGUGGAUCAUUUUUCCAAGCCUGCUUUACUAGCUCUUUCACCUCGGCAUUGUUCUUGAGUCUUCUAUCGUAACGGAACAAUCCACGUCGCUUCUUCUUGUCCGGUUCGAAGAAAGAUACUAUGGGCUUGUGGUCUGACCCUUCGUAAGUGAGAUAAUGGGAUCGCGCAUUUGGGAAUAACUCAGCCCAGUGGCUAUUCGCCGCCGCUCGGUCCAGGCGACAUCUUACUAAGUAGUCUCCUCUCUUUCCUCGCCAUGAAAGGAAAUCUCCGGAAUGCUGUAAGUCGUACAGGUCACCUUCAGAAUAAAAGGUUCGCAUGUCAGUAAAGGAACCUUCAGACCGCUCUGGUCCUCCGUCCUUUUCUGCGUUGUUGAGGAGGUCAUUAAAAUCUCCUGUCACAAACCAAGGAGCAUCUCUGGUUUCGCUUAGCACUAUUAGGCUGUCCCAUAGGGUUCUUCUCUUGGGUUUAUCCGUAUCACCAUAGAUGAACGAUGCAAAAAAAUUCUUUCCUUCAAAUUCAAUAUUUGUAUCGAUACAAUUUGCAGAAGAACUAAGAACUUGGAGCUUUAUCUCCUGUUUCCAAAAUAAAGCAAGACCUCCAGCUCCAUGCCCUAUAGGUGAUAUCAGGUAAGAGUUUUCGUAUUGUAGCUGCUUCGUCUUCUUCAUGACGAAGCUGUCGGGAUUUUUUGUUUCCAUGAGGAAAAGAAUGUCCGGGAAGAUGUCUCUCUUCAUCUCCUUUAGACGUCGAACUGUCCGGGGAUUCCCUAACCCUUGACAGUUCCAACUCGCCACUUUUAAGGAGCGAGAGUAGACGGAUUUCGAAAAUCCGUCUUUUUCUUCGAUCUCGAUGGGAUCAUGUUGCAUAUGGGCUGAUUAUCUGAGCUCGCCGCUGAGUUUCCCGCCUCUCGGGAGUUUGAUUGUCUGGCGCGACCUCUCUGUCUUGUAUCAACUGCAUCAUCCGUGUUCAGUUUCCUUCGAACUGUAGGAGGUUUUGUUUGUAGAGUUUUCCUUUUCUUGGAGUUAGAUCCUUUGAUAAGCCUCGGGCUCUGAUGGACCCUGCGACGUCCUGGGGGUCUUCCCAGUUUUUUCUUUUCAGGGACCGCCGUAGCUUCACUAACCGCAAUGGGUGAUGGCCCAAGUCUUAAGAUGGCUGGGAUUCUCUCUGCUGAGGUCUUCAUAUCCUGUGGUAGCUCUUCUUCCAUAGCCGCUUUAUCUUGGUUUGCUUGUAUCAUAAGUAAGGCGGUUUCCUCCAGCUCUCCUUCUUCUUCUGCUUUUCUCAUUCUUUCUCUUCUAGCUGCACUUUCUGUUGGGUCAGCGCACUUUGUGUAUUGAAGCAUGGCUUCUCUGACUUCUUCUAUGGCUUCGCUAAGAGCUUCCCGUGGCCCUGUCUGUUGCUGAUCAUUCAAAGCCUCAUUCCUGGUCGGGUGCUCUUCUGUCUCCCUUGCUGCUCCUCCUUCUGCUCUUCGGCUUUCAGUUCGUCCUCUCCGUGUAGGGGACAUGUUGGUUUUUUCUUGUUGUCUGUAUUCUUCCCUUUGAUGUCGGGACGAGACUUCUCUAUUUUGGUGAUCAAGGUCUUUGUAGUAAGAGGACCUACUGCCAUAGCUUCCUGGUCUGUCCUUUGAUCCGUCUCUAAAUUGUCUUCGGUUUACAGUAUCCUGACUAGAGCGGUAUCGUCUCCUCUCCUCUAGACUAUGGCGAGCAUCAUAGCGGUACUCCCUGGAGUACUGGCUCCUGCUUCUUCGGUGAUGAUCCUCUCCGUUGGGAUUGGAGGCUGAGAAAUGAUAAAUAUUCGACUCAGUUCUUUGCUUUGUUUCGUUCCCCGGUGGUUCAUUGGCCUCAGAGAUAGCUCUGCGCUGAUUCUCUUGUGCCUUAGCUUCUCUGUCUUGGUGUUUAGCAACCAGACAGUCUUUCACCUCGUGGUCCAAUCUGGAACAUUUAGAACAGUGUCUCUCAAGCUUUUCGUACACAAAAGUAGCAGUAACCUCGUCCCCAUUGGAGUACUCGAUUACUGAGGAUUUGAUCAGUGGAAGCAGUCCAUUGACUUGCACUCUCAUCUUCACACCGGUUUGUGUGAUUUCCAUUGAUUCAAACAACCCCAGGUUCUCGCCUAGGUCUUGUAUAGUUUCCUCCGCCCAGAGGUGGAUCGGGAUUCCUUGGACUUUUAUCCAGAAUGGGAGCAGGGAUGGGAAGUCUCUGGAAACUGUUGGCUCCCAGCGCUGGACUAUAACCAUCCAUUUUGCGUAGUGGUAAGGUCGUUUCUCCAGAACUGAUAUCAAAUCUGUCUCACGCUCAAAUUGGAACUGGAAUAGUCCAUUACCGAGAUCGGAGCCUACAGGUCGACGGUCUGUCUUCCAUAGCUCAGUAAAGAAAGGGAUGAGCGCCCAUAUCUUUUGGGUAGAUUGGUUUGUUACUCUGCCGAUUAGGGUGAGUGAGAACUUAUGGUUGAGUGCUGAGGUAUCUGGAGCUUUAGCUUUGAUGGUUGGUUUUCUUGGAGCUUGGUGGUAGUCGGAUGCUAAGCUCUUUCCUUUGUCUUCUUUGGAUAGUCGUCCUGCCAUUGGUCGUUGGUCUAAUUUUCCUACGGUCGAAUUUUGAGAGAUUGUCACUGUAAGUUGCGAAGACAGUCGAUUCCGACAGGAUUUGGUCGUCUUUGAGUUUGAGAUUUAGCUUAAACUUUGCUUCUUCAGAUACAGGAUUCCCUGUUUCACCAAUCAAGAAGGGUAUUGUUCAGGAGACCAUCUGGGAGCCUGCUGUGUUCCACAUUGUGGUGAGAGCCGGCGGAAAGAAGUGGCUGGAGCGGUCCCUCCGACGACCGUCGGGGGAAGAACCCGGUGGGUAGAGCCCCGGUGCCGUUUAUUAUCCAAUGGUCCGUUCUUCAAAAGGUAACAAUUUGAAAAAACAGGGGGAAUAGCAGUGGUUUUUUGCCAGAAUCAGUAAAAACCAGACGGUAUCAGCAAAACUUACUGCUUCGGACUCGUGGAUAAAGACUUCUCCCGAAACCCGUGCCUGAGAGCGUUUUUGCCGUUUUAAAAAAACUCAGUUAUCGUUGUUGAUUAUUUAACUAUAUUUUGGACAUAAACUGACAAUACACCUAUGAGAAAAUAUUUUUUUUUCCGUUGAACUUGUAUGGUGGCGAGUGACAAUAAUAAGUGCUCUAGCUGUUGCAUUUGUAUAUUGUAUAUUGAAUAUUGAGAACACAGCUAUCCCAAGGAGCUCUAGCUGUUGCAUUUGUACAUUGUAUAAUGAAUAUUAAAUACACAGCUGUUCCAAGGUGCUCUAGAUGUUGUAAUAGUAUAUUGAAGAUUGAAUUAACAGCUAUUCCACGGUAUAUGUGGAAAGCCUAAUCGUAUAAAAAAAAAGUAAAUGUUUUUUAUAUAUUAAAAAUAGAAGUAAAUAUGAUUGAUACUAACGGCUAUGUAAUUUAGUGAGGGAAAGUCAGUUCUUAGUUUCAUAGUCAGUUCUCAGUUUCAUCUGUCUAGUGGAAUGUAAUUACAAGGUGUAUAUAUAAUUCAAAACAGCACUUGUAUAUGUUCUGAAACAGACAGUGAUUUUAGUCUCAUAAGCAAAAGUGUCAAACACACUUGGUGCAGAAGUAGUGCUUAUGUCGGGAAACCCUGUGAGAUCACCCUCCUCAUGUCUCAAACACUAAGCUUAGGGCAGAAAUCUAAACUCACAAAAGGAGAAGUAAACUCAUCGAAACAAGCUAUCCUGAUACGUUCUGGAGUCGCAGGAGUGACCAAAGGGAACCAUUUCCUGCCAAGACCCACCUCGGCUCGAGCCGCUUUGAUCGCAUCUUUAAUCGCAAAGAGAACAAAUGAUGGUGAUAUAUGUGUGAUAACACUCGUUAUACACUGUUUCACAGUGAUGGUUCUUUCAGUCCUCAAGAAAUCUAUUACCUAUAGUUUUUAAGAAGCAGCGGUUGGUGACGCAUUUGGAACCUAUCAAGAUAUAGAGCACAAAACAUAGUUACAUCUCAACUAUUUAGCUUGAUAUGUUUAUAAUAAAUGUACCUUGCCGGUGCUUGUUUCUGAUACAAAAACGGAACUAAGGGGAAUGUUAAAGGCAGACGCAGAAACUUGAGCAACUUUUGUAUGCAAUCCUUGACCCAUCUCUACACCUCCAUGCGUCACCAAAACAGUGUACACAUGAACAAGUGCACCUGCCUAACACCACAUAAUCAAAAACUCUGUUUCUUGCUUCUCAAGAAAUAGUAGUGCAAGAUGGAUUACCUGGUUCAUGAAGUUUUUGGUAAACCAUACGCCAAACUUUGUGGGAACCAUAGCCAUAAUCAAAAUAAAUAAAUAUACAAGUACACAACACUAGUUACGCUCUGUUUCACAGUUAUCAUUCUUUUAGUCCUCAAGAAUCUGCUGUCUAUAUUUUUAAAGAAAACAGCUCGCCUUUUGAUAUUACAUUAGGGAGAUCAACUGAAAGUGGAAGUGAACUUGUCCGAAGGAAGAAUGUAAGAAACUGAUACGAAUAAACAUCUUAACGAUUUAUCUCGCUGGACCUGUCCAACUCAAUAAGAAUGAUAAUAAAAUAAAAUGCGCACUCAAGAGAGCAAGCGUACGUCCCUGAGGUUCCAAGCAACUUGAGUUUGAUAGGGUACAUGCAACGAGACUUGCACCAAAUGCAAAAUGGGCGAGUUACACUAUUAUUCAGCACCACCUCAGUUGGUUUCCCCCACAAUUUUGCUACGCUUCUUGGCAUGAGCCCUGUACAGUCUCCGAGCACACACAUUGUAUGCAAACUAGCUUGUUGAUUUUUACACGUGUAAAACCAUUCCUUUGGAUUCGUUUCUUUCUCACAAAUGUCACACCAGUAUUUACCACUUGCCUCUUCUUCUUGGCUAUAGCAGAGUGAGAGAGGAUGAUCGUCUACUAUGUGUUUUACCACUUGUGGUAGAGUGGCGCAUUUGAAGCCCAGUACAAAUCCACAAUCACCUUCAAUGCACCGAAGCAUAUGAUGUUCCCUUCUGUUGCAACCAUUGCAUAUUUCUUCUUCUUCGGUUGGAAUGUAAUAUAAGGGAUGGUGAAUAUGACUUGGAUGGAAAAAUGGUUCAGAAACUGAACCACACAAGACAUCUAGUUUCCUAUUCCCAUCCUUGUACAUGAAACCACUGGAUGCUCGAUCGCAAACAAGACAGUUGAAGACUUCUAGCUCCUCGUUUGUAACUAAAGUGAGCCGGUCAUUGUGUAGCACAUGCCGUUUCAUUUUAGGACAUUCAGCACACUUAUGAUGUAGAUAAAAAUCACAAUCCACACAGCCAUAAAAAGAUUGAAGACCGAUGAGAUGGAUGCAUGCGCUGCAUCGUUUGUUCUCCUCGUACCAAACACCAUUCCCAUGGAUUCGUCUUAGGUAAUGCUCUUUGUGGCUGAAAUGUUGUAUUGUGUUUUCAUCUAUCACCACAUAUGGUUCUAUAUCUUCUUCUUCUUCAGGUAUUCCUUCGAGCUCUUUCCCGUUCCACACAUCUUUUCUAGUAGCACAUUUAGAAUGAACCACAUAACCAGGACACCUCUUACAAGAAAAGCCGCCAUAAGUCCAAUCCACCUUCUUGCGACAAACUCCGCAGACAGAAUUCAUAGCAGCGUCACCAAGAACGGAAGUACGAGAAACACGGUGAUCAUGCCGGUUGAUGUUAAUGACACGUGGAAGGCCAAGACAAUCUUGAUGGAUCAUGAAACCACAAUCAAAACAUGCGUAAGGGCUUCGAUCUCCCUUUAGACCACAAGCAUUACAUGUAAAAGAAUCGAGUCUUGGAAGAAGCGUGAGUUGGUGAUCAUGAACUUUCGGAUCAGCAGAAGAUUUUGGUGGUGGAUUAAAAACACAAGGCAAAUCCACGGUGAAAUUACAAGAUGAACAAUGAUAAAAAUAUUCACCAAUAUCUGUUCCGCAAAGACGACAUUUACCAUCAGAAUAGUGCGGUGGUGGACCUGUGAGGAGCUUAAGAGGAUGCAAGGAGUGGUAAGAGUGGUUUACCUCUGGUGAGUAAUUUAGCUCUUCUGGGUGCCAUACACAAUCCACAUGGAAGGAUACAUCACAUUCAUCACAUUUGUAUGGAAACCCAUCACCACCUCCCUUCCUGCAUUUAGCAGAGCACUCAAACUCAGUCUGUUCCUUGAGAAGUGUGAGCUUG